Molecule: ribosomal RNA, 506 nt
Filed under: uncultured bacterium
Lineage: Bacteria
Description: partial 16S ribosomal RNA
Rfam family: Bacterial small subunit ribosomal RNA
Source: RNAcentral
AUUGAACGCUGGCGGCAGGCCUAACACAUGCAAGUCGAACGGCAGCACAGAAGAGCUUGCUCUUUGGGUGGCGAGUGGCGGACGGGUGAGUAAUGUCUGGGAAGCUGCCCGAUGGAGGGGGAUAACUAUUGGAAACGGUAGCUAAUACCGCAUAACGUCGCAAGACCAAAGUGGGGGACCUUCGGGCCUCACACCAUCGGAUGUGCCCAGAUGGGAUUAGCUAGUAGGUGGGGUAAUGGCUCACCUAGGCGACGAUCCCUAGCUGGUCUGAGAGGAUGACCAGCCACACUGGAACUGAGACACGGUCCAGACUCCUACGGGAGGCAGCAGUGGGGAAUAUCGCACAAUGGGCGCAAGCCUGAUGCAGCCAUGCCGCGUGUAUGAAGAAGGCCUUCGGGUUGUAAAGUACUUUUAGCGGGGAGGAAGGCGGUGAGGUUAAUAACCUCGCCGAUUGACGUUACCCACAGAAGAAGCACCGGCUAACUCCGUGCCAGCAGCCGCAGUAA